RNAcentral lists this unclassified non-coding RNA (219 nucleotides) under Hevea brasiliensis (rubber tree). The record is from RNAcentral. Lineage: Eukaryota; Viridiplantae; Streptophyta; Magnoliopsida; Malpighiales; Euphorbiaceae.
GGGUAAACCAGCUAUACAAACUCAGAUACUAUGCUAUAUUGGUAUUCCUAAGGGGGAGUGACUUUAAGCACCAAAAGGCUUUUGGUCAUUCAGUGCCACCCUUGCUUGACAAAAUGCUUGGGAAGACAACAUCUUGGACUUUCAGAUUCUUAUAAUAUGCAGGCAUACUACAACUACUCAAACGGCCAGCUAAUGUGUGUCGCCUUUCUGACCACAUUU